RNA transcript from Cololabis saira (Pacific saury), 4792 nucleotides. It is a transcript of the gene named protocadherin-10-like, with no coding region annotated. Lineage: Eukaryota; Metazoa; Chordata; Actinopteri; Beloniformes; Belonidae. The record is from RefSeq and is a predicted model, not a curated record. The transcript has 6 exons.
AACGCAUGGAGGGGCAGAGGUUGGAACUGGAUUAACAAAAAAAAAAAAAACAUGUCUGAUGAUCUGAUUACGGACUGGCACCCAAAAAGACCUUAUAUUGGCCUUUUCAUUCUCACAUGAAUUCUAGUCAGCAGCAACCGCGUCUUUGGAUGGACUCGCCGCUUCACUGAGAUGCGCGCAGUAGAAUCUCCGGGGCUCAGCAGAGGAGACAGCAGUUUUCAAAGUUAUUGAAAUAUUUAAAAACGCCAUCAAAUCAUUUUGUUCCUUUUUACAUAUUUGUUAAGACGUUUGAGACUUGUAACUUCAGGCAGAGAUGGUUGAGGUUUUUUUUUUAAAGUUAAGUUAACAAAAGGAUGAUGGUCUAUGACGCGUUUUUCUUUAAGCCAAGUGUCCUUCUUUUUCCGGCAAUGAUUGUGUUUCUAAUCAUCGCGUGCCUUACGGAUGAAGCGUUUUCCCAGAUCCGCUACUCUGUCCGAGAAGAGGCGGAUCGCGGCACGUUGGUGGGGAAUAUCGCGGAGGAUCUGGGGCUGGACCUGACCAAAGCGGAUUCCCGGCGGUUCCAGGUGGUGCCCAGCUCCAGAACCCCGUACCUGCAGGUGAACCUGGACACCGGGGCCGUGUCGGUCAACGAGCGGAUCGACCGGGAGCAGAUCUGCAAGCAGAGCCCCAGCUGCCAGCUCAACAUGGAGGUGUUCCUGGAGAACCCGCUGGAGCUGUUUCGGGUGGAGAUCGAGGUGAUGGAUAUAAACGACAACCCGCCCAGUUUCCCCGAGACGGACAUCACGGUGGAGAUCUCGGAGAGCGCGACUCCCGGGACGCGCUUCCCCCUGGAGAGCGCCUUCGACCCGGACGUGGGCGCCAACGCUUUACGCACGUACGAAAUCACCACCAACAACUUUUUCCACCUGGACGUGCAGACUCAAACGGACGGGAACAAGUUCGCGGAGCUGGUGCUGGAGCAGCUGCUGGACAGGGAGCAGCAGGCCGUGCACAGGUACGUGCUGACGGCGGUGGACGGCGGCGCGCCGCCGCGCACCGGCACCGCGCUACUGCGCGUAAAGGUUCUGGACUCCAACGACAACGUGCCGGUGUUUGACCAGCCCGUGUACACGGUGAGUCUCCCCGAAAACGUACCUGUGGGGACUUUAGUCAUACAACUGAACGCCACAGACCGAGAUGAGGGACUAAAUGGAGAAAUCGUGUAUUCCCUCAGUAACCACGUCUCCACGCGCGUAAAGGCGCUGUUCGGCAUCGAGCCGCGCACCGGCCGCCUGGAGGUGCGCGGAGAGGUGGAUUUCGAAGAGAGUAGCUUGUAUCAGAUCUUCGUGCAGGCCAAGGAUCAGGGUCCGAACGCCGUGCCCGCGCACUGCAAGGUCUUGGUGAAAGUCGGGGACGUGAACGACAACGCGCCGGAGCUCAGCUUCAGCACCGUGGUGGACGCGGUGGGCGAGGACGCGCAGCCCGGCACCGUGAUCGCGCUGCUCAGCGCCACGGACCGGGACGCGGGCCAGAACGGGGACCUCCACGUGGAAAUCCUCGGAGACGUCCCGUUUAAGUUAAAGUCCUCCUUUAAGAAUUACUUCACCAUCGUGACGGACGGGCCUCUGGACCGGGAGCGGGCCGACUCCUACUCCGUGACGGUGAUGGCGAGGGAUAAAGGAACUCCUGCUCUCGCAACCAGCUCCUCAAUCCGCGUCCAGGUCUCAGACGUGAACGACAACGCGCCUGCAUUCACUCAGUCUGUAUAUGACGUGUAUGUGACUGAGAAUAAUGUUCCUGGGGCGUAUAUACACGCCGUGACAGCUCUUGAUAGUGACACUGGACAGAAUGCACUCAUUAAUUACUCCAUCAUGGAUUGUGACAUCCAGGGGAUGUCAGUCAAAACGUAUGUGUCGAUCAAUGAGGAGACGGGAUACCUUUAUGCUCUUAGGUCCUUUGAUUAUGAACAGAUCAAGCAUUUCACAUUUAUGGUCCAGGCAAAGGAUGCAGGUACUACGGAGCUGUCCUCCAACACCACGGUCAAAGUGAUCAUUGUAGACCAGAAUGACAAUCCCCCACUAAUGCUCGCUCCUGUAGGGAAGAAUGGAACAGCCAAGGAGCUCCUCCCUCGCUCCGCUGAGCCAGGAUACCUGGUGACCAGACUAGUGGCGAUGGAUGCAGACGACGGUGAGAACGCUCGCUUGUCCUACAGCAUCCAGAGGGGGAAUGAGAACGGCAUGUUCCGGAUGGACUGGAGGACGGGGGACCUCAGGACUGCAAGGCGGGUGUCAUCUAAACGGGACACUCACCAAUUGUACGACUUGCUGGUGAUGGUGAGAGACCACGGCCAGCCCCCGUUGUCCUCCAGUACCAGCGUGUUGGUGAUGCUGGUGGACAGUGUGGCUGAAGGCCAGGGCGACAGGGACAAAGUAGGCCCAAACAAAGCCACGGAUAACACCCUGGACCUCACGCUUAUCCUCAUCAUUGCCCUCGGUUCUGUCUCCUUCAUCUUCCUCCUGGUCAUGAUUGUGCUGGCGGUGCGCUGCCAGAAGGAUAAGAAGUUCAACAUUCACACCUGCCUGGUCAGCGACUGCUGUCUGGACUGCAGCACCUCCUGCUCCAAGCAGGACCGGUCCCGGAAGAAGAAGCUCAGCAAGUCGGAUAUCAUGCUGGUGCAGAGUAACGUCCACGUUAGCGGGACUGGUACGCCGCAAGUCCCCAUUGAGGAGUCGGGGAGCUUUGGCUCCCACCACCAGAACCAGAACUAUUGCUACCAGGUAUGCCUGACUCCAGAGUCUGCCAAAACCGACCUCAUGUUCCUGAAGCCAUACAGUCCGUCUAGGAGCACAGACACCGAGCACAACCCCUGUGGAGCCAUAGUGUCAGUGUACACAGACCAGCAGCCGGACAUCAUAUCAAACAGCAGCAUUUUAUCUAAUGAGACCAAACACCAGCGCACUGAGCUCAGCUACCUGGUUGACAGAUCGAGACGUGUUAACAGUUCAGCCUUUCAGGAGGCCGAUCUGGUUAGCUCCAAAGACAGUGGCCAUGGAGACAGCGAGCAGGGGGACAGUGAUCAUGACGCCACUAAUCGAGGCCAUUCUUCUGCUGUGGAUCUAUUCUCUAACUGCACGGAGGAGUGUAAGGCUCUGGGUCACUCUGACCGCUGCUGGAUGCCAAACUUUGUGACCUCUGAAGGGCAACAGGGUCUAGACUACCGCAUCAACCUUCACGUCCCCGGCAUGGACUCAGUCCCAGAUACGGAGCAUCUGGUACAGCGUCAAAUUGAUGAGGCCAUACUGAUGUUGGAGGACAGCUAGUGCAUACUCUUGUCUCAGCCAUGCCACAUCCUCAAUCUCUCGAAUGGACAUUUGGUCACCAUAGUCUUGAGCAAAGAAAAGAAUGUGCUUGCUCCUUCUGUGUGGACAUAACAGAAACUGCCUGACACUUCAUUUUCUCACCUACAACCAGCUGUAAAAAAGGAGAACAUUUUGAGGAUAUUUUGUUCUCCCUGCCUUCAUCCCUCUUUACACAGUAAAAAUUUAAAAUAAAAUGACAGCUGGCUGAACAAAAUCAGGAAAUAUCUCCUGAAGGACGUCAAUAAUUACUACUGUUCUUGAGGUACUUUGAACACACCAUCCUUUAGGAAAAAACCCCUACUCCUAAGAUUUAGUGGCAGUUGGACACAAGACAAAGGGGAUGGGAUCAAUGUUGGAAGUCAGUUAAAUGGAUAGCUUUACUAGGAGACCCGUUUUUUCCUCAGUGGGACUGGGAAUCUGACAGAAGAGCAAGAACAGUGAUUGCAGAGACUGAGCACAUGUCCUUCUGUUCUUUUCCAGUCUGUGUUCACCCGUUUACAGCACUGAUGCACACAUCUUUUGCAACAAUAAGCCCUGAUGAGGACUACAUGCAAAGAAGGAAAUGCAAAUUCAAGCGAAAGCGACCCAGAGGAACAAGUCUUGCAGCUUUUGUACUUCAAUGAGACGUCAAAUUGUACAGGAGAAUCUUUGUGCAUUUCAUGAUGCAAUACUGUGUUUAAGAAUGUUUUUAUUCCACUCUUGUGAUCAGGUGUGUAUAUUGAAAUCUGUUGUCUACUAUGAACCUUGUUUUCUUAUUUUUAAGGUCAUUUUUUCCUUUCUCAACACAAAGAGGACAGUGCCUGGUCCACACUUUUCUGAGUCACCAUAUUUUGUUUUUAAUAUGUCAGAAUUGAUUACUCUUAAGAACUUUCAAGCUCAAUGUAAAACUCAAUAUAAAUCCAUCUAUAUCUACUUGUCCAGAAAUAGGUGCAAUUUGUUUCUGAGGUUCUCAUUCUUAUUUGAAGGCUUUACUGCAGAAAGUGCAGAUGAUAUAUAUAUAUAUAUAUAAUUUUGUUGAUAUUUAUUGUACCUCUGUUUUGUUGUAAGUAAUAACUUGAAAAUUAAUUUAUAAAUAAAGGAAAUGCAAAAAAAAUUGUACGCAAUUAAGUUGGAAUACAUAAAAACACAUAAUUAGCUAACAAUAAACUGAAUGAUGUUAAACAAAUGUCCUCUCUGUUUUUAAUCUACCACACAGACGCCCUAAAGAAAAAAACGUUUACGCUGGCUUGUUUGAAAUAGGUUUUGCUUCUCUUGUUCACAGUUGAAGCCUUUUACCUUGUAGGAAAAUAUUACCUUGUUAUCUCCAGUCAUCUUUUAGUGGUCCACUCACUCUGGUACAAAACGCAGCUACCCGCCUUCUUACUGCAAGCGUGACCACAUUUCCGCUGUCCUAGCUGCGCUGCACUGGCUCCCUGUUGCUUUUAGAAAAGAUUUUACAUUUUCAUUGAUUGUUU